Molecule: long non-coding RNA, 541 nt
Filed under: Coffea arabica (coffee)
Lineage: Eukaryota; Viridiplantae; Streptophyta; Magnoliopsida; Gentianales; Rubiaceae
Description: long non-coding RNA (CARA_LNC004154)
Source: RNAcentral
GGUUCGAAUCUUUUUCGACACAUUCGCUAUCGUACAGAGUUUGCCUAGUACAUCUUAUCCUUUCAUAUAGUUGGCAUAUUAUUGCACGGGACGAAAUUUAUCUAUCGAAAAAAUUUAAAGAAAAUGUCAGAACACCAUUUUGGUCUAAUUAGAUUCUUAUAUUUAUCAAUCCCUUAUACAUAGUUUCUUUAAGCUCCGUUUCCUAUAGAUUAUGAUAAAUUAAGUUGUAAAAAUCCGAUAGUUGCUCGGAAAAAAAAAAAGACCGCUAUUUAAAAUAAGGAGCAUCUCUUGUAGCGAGGAAAAACGAAAGAGAUAAAAGUUCCCAUCAAAGUAAGAACUUGAACAUGUGGUUUCCCGUUCAAUUGCACGUACUCUGUCGCAUCUCUUGUCGCAAGAGAUAAAAGUUCCAAUCAAAUUAAGAACUUGAAUUGCACGUACGCUGUCGCAUCUCUUGUAGCGAGGAAAAACGAAAGAGAUAAAAGUUCCCAUCAAAGUAAGAACUUGAACAUGUGGUUUCCAGUUCAAUUGCACGUACUCUGUC